RNAcentral lists this ribosomal RNA (253 nucleotides) under uncultured bacterium. Its description in RNAcentral is "partial 16S ribosomal RNA". It matches the Rfam family "Bacterial small subunit ribosomal RNA", at positions 524 to 776 of the family's 1533-position model. The record is from RNAcentral.
GACGUAGGGUGCGAGCGUUAAUCGGAAUUACUGGGCGCAAAGCGUGCGCAGGCGGUUUUGUAAGCCAGAUGUGAAAUCCCCGGGCUUAACCUGGGAAUGGCAUUUGGGACUGCAAGGCUGGAGUGCGGCAGAGGAGACUGGAAUUCCUGGUGUAGCAGUGAAAUGCGUAGAUAUCAGGAGGAACACCGAUGGCGAAGGCAGGUCUCUGGGCUGACACUGACGCUCAGGCACGAAAGCGUGGGGAGCAAACAGG